Long non-coding RNA from Cephus cinctus (wheat stem sawfly), 733 nucleotides. RefSeq lists it as uncharacterized. The record is from RefSeq and is a predicted model, not a curated record. Lineage: Eukaryota; Metazoa; Arthropoda; Insecta; Hymenoptera; Cephidae. The transcript has 5 exons.
CAAUAUGGCGACGACAACGAGAACGAAUUGACGUGCGGGUGUGUUACGUCUUGUCCCUCGGUGAAAAAACCAGCAACAAACUUGAAAGUCGUGGUGACGUGAUAACAAUAAGAUAGUAAAGGAUUAAGAAGUGGAUUAAGGAAUAUCAAAGUGCAGUCCAUAGACACUCAGUCAUGCAAUUAUAAACAGAUUAGUUCGCCCCUGGCUAUGAUAAUGUCACCGCAAACUGCGUCCACGAUUGCGAAAACGAUGGAGUCGAUUUUCGACAAUGCUGUAACUACGCAACAUACUUCAAGCAUGGCUAAGAAUUGUCUUCAGGAUUAACUUCCCGGCGCGACCUCAUAAGCCACGGUUAAUUAGAAGCCCACAGCAUCCAGCUUGCGGUCCAGAUAUGCACGCCUCAACUUUCAGCACCGUACUCUCCUCCUUGGUCCAGCCUCGAUCCUGAUCUUGCAGAUGCCUGACAGCGGACGAACGAAGGAUCUACGGAGACAAUGAAAAGUUAUUUUUCAAAAGCGUCGAAAUACCGAAGAAAAUCUUCUUAUAUCCGGGGAAAUAAGAAUUUGGCCAGGCUAAGAGGAUUUCACGUGUUCGCCUACUGGAUCGGACGGCUUUUGCAGUGGCAAAUGUUGGAAUUGCGGAAAUCCGAGAUGCCAUAAUUUCAUCAGGCCCUUACAGUCUACGGAGUAAAGCGACAGGUCGGCCAGUGAGCGGACGAAGUGGCCAGCUGUAA